CCUACGGGAGGCAGCAGUGAGGAAUAUUGGUCAAUGGACGAGAGUCUGAACCAGCCAAGUAGCGUGAAGGAUGACUGCCCUAUGGGUUGUAAACUUCUUUUAUAUGGGAAUAGAGUGUUCCACGUGUGCGGUUUUGUAUGUACCCUAUGAAUAAGGCUCGGCUAACUCCGUGCCAGCAGCCGCGGUAAUACGGAGGGGCCGAGCGUUAUCCGGAUUUAUUGGGUUUAAAGGGAGCGUAGGGGGGGUGUUAAGUCAGUUGUGAAAGUUUGGGGCUCAACCGUAAAAUUGCAGUUGAAACUGGCAGUCUGGAGUACAGGAGAGGUGGGCGGAAUUCGUGGUGUAGCGGUGAAAUGCUUAGAUAUCACGAAGAACUCCGAUUGCGAAGGCAGUUCACUGGACUGUAACUGACACUGAGGCUCGAAAGUGUGGGUAUCAAACAGGAUUAGAUACCCGAGUAGUC
RNAcentral lists this ribosomal RNA (460 nucleotides) under uncultured bacterium. Its description in RNAcentral is "partial 16S ribosomal RNA". It matches the Rfam family "Bacterial small subunit ribosomal RNA", at positions 338 to 795 of the family's 1533-position model. The record is from RNAcentral.